UACGUAGGGUGCGAGCGUUGUCCGGAAUUACUGGGCGUAAAGAGCUCGUAGGUGGUUUGUCGCGUUGUUCGUGAAAACUCACAGCUUAACUGUGGGCGUGCGGGCGAUACGGGCAGACUGGAGUACUGCAGGGGAGACUGGAAUUCUGGUGUAGCGGUGGAAUGCGCAGAUAUCAGGAGGAACACCGGUGGCGAAGGCGGGUCUCUGGGC
RNAcentral lists this ribosomal RNA (210 nucleotides) under uncultured bacterium. RNAcentral describes it as "partial 16S ribosomal RNA". It matches the Rfam family "Bacterial small subunit ribosomal RNA", at positions 524 to 734 of the family's 1533-position model. The record is from RNAcentral.